UACGAUGACACCAGCGAUUAAUCGGCGUUAAUAUAUGACCCGAUUAGCAGCUUCCGGGAAACCAAAGUUUUUCGUUUCCUGGGGAAGUAUGGUUGCAAAGCUGAAACUUAAAGGAAUUGACGGAAGGGCACCACCAGGAGUGGAGCCUGCGGCUUAAUUUGACUCAACAUGGGAAAACUCACCCGGCCCGGACACUGUAAGGAUUGACAGACUGAAAGCUCUUUCUUAAUUCGGUGGGUGGUGGUGCAUGGCCGUUCUUAGUUGGUGGAGCGAUUUGUCUGGUUAAUUCCGAUAACGAACGAGACUCUGGCCUAUUAAAUAGACGAUAAAUUUAAAAGUUUGUCGCACUUCUUAGAGGAACAAGCGGCGUCUAGCCGCAUGAAAUAGAGCAAUAACAGGUCUGUGAUGCCCUUAGAUGUCCGGGGCUGCACGCGCGCUACACUGAAAGAAUCAGAGUGCGUUGAAACCUAGUUCGGAAGAACCGGGUAACCCAAGUAAAUUCUUUCGUGCUUGGGAUAGGGAAUUGCAAUUAUUUCCCUUAAACGAGGAAUUCCCAGUAAAUGCGGGUCAUAAGCUCGCGUUGAUUACGUCCCUGCCCUUUGUACACACCGCCCGUCGCUACUACCGAUUGGAUGACUUAGUGAGGUCUUAGGACCGAGGUCAGAGUGCUUGUCAUGAGUGCUCUCGCUUUGGAAAUUUGAUCGAACUACGUUAUCUAGAGGAAGUAAAAGUCGUAACAAGGUUUCCGUAUGUGAACCUGCGGAAGGAUCA
This 771-nucleotide ribosomal RNA is filed under the name uncultured eukaryote. Its description in RNAcentral is "SSU rRNA". It matches the Rfam family "Eukaryotic small subunit ribosomal RNA", at positions 1031 to 1828 of the family's 1831-position model. The record is from RNAcentral.